RNAcentral lists this ribosomal RNA (447 nucleotides) under uncultured bacterium. RNAcentral describes it as "partial 16S ribosomal RNA". It matches the Rfam family "Bacterial small subunit ribosomal RNA", at positions 29 to 523 of the family's 1533-position model. The record is from RNAcentral.
AGCGAACGCUGGCGGCAGGCUUAACACAUGCAAGUCGAACGCCCCGCAAGGGGAGUGGCAGACGGGUGAGUAACACGUGGGAACGUACCCUUUGGUUCGGAAUAACUUGGGGAAACUCAAGCUAAUACCGGAUAAGCCCUUAUGGGGAAAGGUUUACUGCCGAAGGAUCGGCCCGCGUCUGAUUAGCUAGUUGGUGAGGUAAUGGCUCACCAAGGCGACGAUCAGUAGCUGGUCUGAGAGGAUGAUCAGCCACACUGGGACUGAGACACGGCCAAGACUCCUACGGGAGGCAGCAGUGGGGAAUAUUGGACAAUGGGGGCAACCCUGAUCCAGCCAUGCCGCGUGGGUGAUGAAGGCCUUAGGGUUGUAAAGCUCUUUUACCCGGGACGAUAAUGACUGUACCGGGAGAAUAAGCCCCGGCUAACCUCGUGCCAGCAGCCGCUGUAA